Molecule: long non-coding RNA, 1261 nt
Filed under: Salmo salar (Atlantic salmon)
Lineage: Eukaryota; Metazoa; Chordata; Actinopteri; Salmoniformes; Salmonidae
Description: lncRNA (ENSSSAG00000104568.1, ENSSSAG00000106283.1)
Source: RNAcentral
GUAGGGAAUAGGGUGGUUAUGGGCUCUGGUCUAAAGUAGUGCACUAUGUAGGGAAUAGGGUGGUUAUGGGUUCUGGUCUAAAGUAGUGCACUAUGUGAGAAUAGGGUGGUUAUGGGCCCUGGUCUAAAGUAGUGCACUAGGUAGGGAAUAGGGUGGUUAUGGGCUCUGGUCUAAAGUAGUGCACUAUGUAGGGAAUAGGGUGGUUAUGGGCUCUGGUCUAAAGUAGUGCACUAUGUAGGGAAUAGGGUGGUUAUGGGCACUGGUCUAAAGUAGUGCACUAUGUAGGGAAUAGGGUGGUUAAGGGCUCUGGUCUAAAGUAGUGCACUAUGUAGGGAAUAUGGUGGUUAUGGGACUUGGUAUAAAAUAGUGCACUAGGUAGGGAAUAGGGUGGUUAUGGGCCCUGGUCUAAAGUAGUGCACUAGGUAGGGAAUAGGGUGGUUAUGGGGCCUGGUCUAAAGUAGUGCACUAGGUAGGGAAUAGGGUGGUUAUGGUCCUGGUCUAAAGUAGUGCACUAGGUAGGGAGUAGGGAAUAGGGUUCCAUUUGAGACACGGACUUGAUUUAUUAUCAAUUCUGCUGCAAGAAGAAUAUACAGGAGCUUUAAUUCCCAUGGACAAGUGAGCUGAUAUUACUUACAGUGCUGUUGACGUAGGAAAGGCACUAUGGUAUACAGUUGAAGUCGGAAGUUUACAUACAUCUUAACCAAUUCCUGACAUUUAAUCCUAGUACAAAUUCCCUGUUUUAGGUCAGUUAGGAUCACCACUUUAUUUUAAGAAAGUGAAAUGUCAGAAUAAUAGUAGAGAGAAUUAUUUAUUUCAGCUUUUAUUUCUUUCAUCACAUUCCCAGUGGGUCAGAAGUUUACAUACACUCAAUUAACAUUUGGUAGCAUUGUCUUUAAAUUGUUUAACUUGGGUCAAACGUUUCGGGUAGCCUUCCACGAGCUUCUCACAAUAGUUGGGUGAAUUUUGGCCCAUUCCUCCUGACAGAGCUGGUUUAACUGAGUCAGGUUUGUAGGCCUCCUUGCUCGCACACGCUUUUUCAGUUCUGCCCACACAUUUUCUACAGGAUUGAGGUCCGGGCUUUGUGAUGGCCACUCCAAUACCUUGACUUUGUUGUCCUUAAGCCAUUUUGCCACAACUUUGGAAGUAUGCUUGGGGUCAUUGUCCAUUUGGAAGACCCAUUUGUGACCAAGCUUUAACUUCCUGACUGAUGUCUUGAGAUGUUGCUUCAAUAUAUCCACAUCAUUUUCCUACCUCUUGAUGC